GUUUUGAGUCAACGCCGAUAUUUUCCGAUUCCGGCAGUCUCCGGCCACCAAACUGGCGUCGAAGGGCGAUGUACCAAGCUCUGGCUCGAUGAAGGAACUCGUAUACGUGAUCGUCGGAAUAGUACUUUUGCAGGCAAAAUUAGUUGAGGUCGGGCGUACAUGGAGUUGAGGCAUAGUCAACUGCACGGCUUCCACGUUUGCCUUUGAAUUAGGUUUUCCCUUAUUUACCUUUCUAUUAGAAUUGCUCUGAUUACCUGUGGGAUUAAUGUU
This 270-nucleotide long non-coding RNA is filed under the name Rosa chinensis. RNAcentral describes it as "sRNA RchiOBHm_Chr7g0220661". The record is from RNAcentral. Lineage: Eukaryota; Viridiplantae; Streptophyta; Magnoliopsida; Rosales; Rosaceae.